CAAUAGCGUAUAUUAAAGUUGUUGCGGUAAAAAAGCUCGUAGUUGGAUUUCUACCGAAGAUAGCCGGUCGGGUCUUCGACCUUGUAUCUGGUUUUGUCUUUGGUAUCCUCAUAGGGAACGUUUCUGCGCUUUAUUGCGUGGUGCGGUAUCUAUGACUUUUACUUUGAGGAAAUUAGAGUGUUCACGGCAGGCAAACGCCUUGAAUAUAUUAGCAUGGAAUAAUAACAUAGGAUCUUCGUCCUAUUUUGUUGGUUUCUAGGGCUAAGAUAAUGAUUAAUAGGGAUAAUUGGGGGCAUCUGUAUCAACGCGUCAGAGGUGGAAUUCUUGGAUUGCGUUGCGACGAACUACUGCGAAAGCAUUUGCCAAGGAUGUUUUCAUUGA
Molecule: ribosomal RNA, 381 nt
Filed under: uncultured eukaryote
Lineage: Eukaryota
Description: partial 18S ribosomal RNA
Rfam family: Eukaryotic small subunit ribosomal RNA
Source: RNAcentral